ACCAAUGAAUGUGAGACGUUGAGUGACAGCUGUCCAAUAGGGACCCUCAGUGCUAGUAUGGUUUGCGGCUUAAGCACCGCCGCGGUCUGAGGAAUGUCAACUAUUCAACAUGGAGGCGGAGGUCGAUAAGCUGGAACUGAUGGCCAUGGAUGCUUAGAGGAGCUCCAUCUCACCAGAAAAAUGUACACAGAUAAAUGAAACUGCCAACUCUUAAGCAGGGAUUUGUAGAUCUUUGCCCCCAUAAGGUCAUGGGCCUCUAAGAAUAUCUGCUAUUCAACGGUUGGAGUGAUUUGAGAUUAAGUGACUAUCUCCUUUUAAGUAUCUUUGUAAGCAACAGUUGCUGCCAAGCAUACUCCCUCAAGAUUGUACUAAGUUCUGUUUCAAGCCCUGGGAAACCCUAAUGAUCUUUACCUGAAGGGUGACUUCAUAUAUUCCAGAAAGCUGACUCUGAUCUGGAUUACAUUCAAUACAGGCUGGAAUAUGAAAUCAAGACUAAUUACCCUGAUUCAGCAGGCAAGAAAAACCAGUUCUGGUCCAGGGGUCCCACCGAAUGACUGGCCAAAGGACUCAUUUGAAAAAAUCCAGUUACACUCUUAAAGGAAUUGUCAGCAAUAAAGUCUAGAUACAGAACGUUGCAUGUACGCUUUAAACCAAUUGCUGUUGAGCAGAAAGAAACUAAGAGCCGCAUUUGUGCUACUUUCAGUAAGACUAUGACCAUGAUACAAGAACUACAAAAGCAAACAGACCUAGAGCUAUCACCACUGACCAAAGAAGAGAACACUGCAGCAGAACAAUUAAAAUCUUACAUGUCAGACUUAUGAAGAAAUGAACUUGCAAAAGGGAACUCUAAUGGAGAAGAGAUCAAUUCCAGGUUUAGGACUAUGUCUUGCUAGCAUUUAAUGACUAGAAGUGAGGGAAUAGCAAAGGAGAUUUGGCUUAGGUGACUGCAUAGUGAUGCCUUUCAUAAGAGAGGAGAAUAUAAGAAGGGCAGAUGUUACAUGAAUAAAGUUCAGACAUAAGGAUGGAAUGGGAAUAAAGGGCUUUUUUUAAAUGGACACACACACCUAUUGUGAUUUCAGGAAAAGAAACCUCUUAAAGCUAUUUUGUAUCUGUUUUUGUAUAAUCAGGAUAACAGACAUCCUUGCCUAUUGUAAAAGAAUAUGUACUAUCAGUCAGUCAAAUGUAAAUGAACAUGUUUUGGUAGUUAAAGGAUAGAAAAAGCUAUUUGUAUUAUAUAUUACAUAUAUGUAUAUAAUUUUAUUUUUGAAAAUUUUGAUUGCAGAUGUGGUCACAUUAUUGGUGCUAAUAUGAGACUACUAGUAUGUGGCCUAUAGUCUCUUAAAAAAACCUUACUUCUCUGUGGUAGCCUCACCUUCUUUCCUGUUACUUCUGCCUGUUAAUACUGAGCAGCAUGAGCUCUGCUUUCAAAUGUUAUUUUAGCCUGUCCCUGUUGUAAAUCAACACUACCUUUGUUCUCCUUUAGCCUAUAUUAUUGUGAUUGUUCUUUCUAUAUGAAAGCUAAGAAAAAGAAAUCAGAGGACUUGCCAGUUGUGCGUGUGUAUGUGUGUGUGUGUGUGUGUGUGAAUUUCCCUAUUUAUUUUAAAGUAACUAUUGGCAAUAAGGUAAUUGUCCUAAGUAGGGAUAGAUUGUGAUACAAAUGUUAAUCACAGGGCUAUUUAUAAUAGCAACACACAUACACACACGUCUGGCUAAUUGCAGGUAAACAGGCAAGUAAAUCAUGGUGUAUCUAUACAACAAGAUGUCAGAUUGCCAAUAAAUUAUUAUUAAAUGUUCUGGGAAAUGCUGAAGCUAUAUAUAGCAGGGAGAGGGGAAGCAGAUAUUGCAGUUUUGUAGUUAAGAUUGGGCUUUGGAGUUAUAUCUGAGAUGUAAAUAGGUUUUAAAUUCUAGCUGUGUGACCGUGAGCUGAUCAUUUCUUUUUGUCAAAAUGGAUGGAAGAAUGAUGGGAUGGUAAAGUGUUUGGGUUUGAUAUUGAGUUAUUCUUCAAUAAAUGAUAUUUCCACAUAUGUAAUAAAAUGAGACAUUGAAAAGACUAAGGAAAAACAUGUCAAAUGUUAGUUCUGCAGGUCGUAAAAUUAUAUUUUUAUGUAAGGAAAUUGGUUACAAGCAUGUUUUUGUCCAUCAACAAACUUAUUAGUACUUGACAAACAGGAUUGAGAGAGUAGCUUCAGUUAAAAUUGACCUGACUAGUUUGAAUAUUCGAAGAAUGGAAAGCUCCCCUCUUUUUAAAUUACAGAGAAAUAAGUUACACCUUAGUAAAAUAAGUUAAUUUUCUUCAGUACUCAGACACUUUAUUAAAGAAGUUAAUGGGAUGUCUCUGGAAGGUCAUGUUGAUUGGUGGGACUGAAAAAUAGUAUCCCAAAGUAUCAUGAAGAGGUCAUAGCAAGUUUCAGGUGUGAAAGUGGUUUUGCUUUCUAUCAGGAAAACCUAGAUUUUACUAUUUUUCCUCUGACUCCCUUCAGUUAUCUUCUAAAUAUUGGUUCUUCCCCUCAUAGUCUCUUCGAACUUUUUAUAUUUGUUUCCAAACUUCAUUUAUUGCCUUUAGGUGGCUGAUUCCCAAAUACAACUACUAGAUCUGGAUUCGUAUUUUCCAAUAAAAACCUCUAUUUUAAUAAUCAGAUCUAACAUAUCCAGAGCAGUUACUGAUUUUGUUAUUUUGUUAAUGGCCACUAUUCUGUUAGCUGGAAUUAAAAGGUUUGUAUCUCUUUAUCCUAAUAAAUAAAGUCUAUAUAAUUGUUUCUGAAAUGUUCAGAGUAUCCAGCCACCACUUUUUCCUCACUCUUACGACCCUAAAUUUAGAUAUUUUAUUUCUCAUCUGGAUAAUUGUUUUCUUCUAUGUGACUACAGUGUUUUUAUAUCUUAAGUUGUAAGGAAUAAAAAUUUUAAUUAGGUUGCAUUUAAUACUUUUAACUUU
This is an RNA transcript of Manis pentadactyla (Chinese pangolin), 2932 nucleotides long. It is a transcript of the gene named spindle and kinetochore associated complex subunit 2, with no coding region annotated. Lineage: Eukaryota; Metazoa; Chordata; Mammalia; Pholidota; Manidae. The transcript has 7 exons. The record is from RefSeq and is a predicted model, not a curated record.